UUCUUAUUUUCACUGGCCCAUUGUGCUUAUCUGCUUGCUGACGUAUUACUAAUAUCUGACACGGGCGACAUCCCGGGUCCUGGAACUGCAUUUACCGCCAGGAGCAGUUGGUGACCACCAUCUAGCCUCGGCAUCACUAUCGAUCGGAUGAUACUUUAAUUUGGCAUAGACUAAAAAACUCAUCAGAAGAGCAUUUAUAUUCAUAAGUCAUAACAACCGGCGAUGAUUUUAGGGUCUUUAAUUUCCCGGCGCGGUAGAUCCCCUCCAGUCCAGUCCGAGCACCUCGCCGUGCGGCCGUGCCUGAUCUUAGGGGAUGGAAGGCAACCGGAGCGACGGGGACGUCGAUCUGUCCCCGCGGACGGAGGCUCGCCGGAGUUUCGUUCCCCCCCGCGUCACCGCCGUGGCGGGAGGGGAGAGGGAGGCCUUGGAGAACCGUGGACUCGGCGACGACCACGAGAAGACUGAUGACGAGGACUCCGAGCACGUACGCUCAAGUCAGAACUCGGAUGUUCUUGUUUAGAUUUGAGAUUCCCCAGAAGCUAUCGCCUGCACGGGCGACUUGAUAUAUCUGUAAAAAAGGGAUUCCUGGACAUCCCUAUUUACACAUGUAUUAUAUUCUUCUGCUGCGUCUGCUGCAGGUGGAGGAUAACUUUUGGAGCAGAAUGAAGAUAACAUGUUCCUACCUGCAAAGAAGAAGAAUGGGAAUGGCAAUAACGGUUUUGAUGGCACAGUUGAUCUGGUGACUGAUCACAUCAGGAAGCAUUCCUGGUAUAAUAUUUGCCUCCUGCCGGAUGAGAUGCUCACUGAAAUUUUCCUUCGUCUUCCACCUAAUGCUAGAGGCAUCCUCUGUGCCUCAACUGUCUGCAAAUACUGGCACAAGCUCAUCACCAGCUAUUUAUUCAUGCGCUGCUUUAGUACAUUACAUCUACCACCUUUAAUUUGUGGACUGAUCAGCAGUAGGUGCAAUCCAAGGUUAGUGAUCCGCAUUACCAGCGCGUUGAAUCCCAAUCAGGUGGCCAAACUUAAAAAAGUCGGUUUUGGUGAUUAUUUGGAUAUGAAGAUUUGCCACACAUUCAGGGAACUUGGGGCUUGGAUGCUAUGGCACCAUGAUGCAGAAGAGAUGUGCUUUAAAUUUGGAUAUGAAGAUGUGCUUUAAAAAGUCGGUUUUGGUGAUUAUUUUUGGAUAUGAUGACCUUUUUGUCACAUGUUGGACUUUGAUUUUAGUAGAUAAGAUCUUUGCUCCUACAACAUCUCUCUCUGUCAGCAAAAGAUUAUUGGAAACUUGCCUCGACGUGAAUAUUAUAAUGUCCUACGACUGGGUUGGCUACAUCAUGGAAGCAGUUAGAAAGAGUGCCAAAAAAUUACAGGAGGACAGAUCUGCGACCUUUGCAAACGGAUCCACUUAUUUUCUUGGGUUGUAUUUACUGGAUUGGCUGAAACAUCCGGGUCUCACACCUCCUAUUGGUGAACCUCGUUUCACUCUUUGGCAUGAUGAGCAGAGAAAGCUGGUGAUGGGCGGUAACUGGGUGGGUGGUGCACCUUUUGCAUAUCUUACAAGCCUAAAGGUGAGGACAGCCAUGGAUACAUGUUAUGCUGAAGAUUUUGGGUAUUCCGAAUGAAACAAAAGGUUUCUGGUCUUUCUUAGUACCUAACAGAUGAAGUGAUCCAGAAUGACGGAAGGAAGUAUCAGCUUUGUCAUCUGCAGCUGAAAUGAAGAUCAUGCAUGGGGCGCUUCUUUUAGUUUGUUCAUCUGAUGUCAAACCUGCUACCCUUGUCUGUAUACUACCUCCGGCUACAAAUUCAAGCACUUCUGAGUUUGUACUAAGUUAAACAAUUAUAGGUUUCACAAAGACCAUUAGUAUUUAUGAUACCAAAUAAAUAACAUCU
Molecule: long non-coding RNA, 1887 nt
Organism: Panicum hallii
Lineage: Eukaryota; Viridiplantae; Streptophyta; Magnoliopsida; Poales; Poaceae
Exons: 6
Source: RefSeq, a predicted model, not a curated record